GUCAUUAGCAACUCAUAUAUAUGCAUCAGGAGGCGGUUGGAGCCCCUGCUUACCCCCGGGUCCGUCCCUGAAUAUAUACACAUAAAAUAUAAAUGUUAAUUAUCUAUAAAAGAAUCCAUGAGACCAGACAUUAGCAAGAUCCUUAGUUUAACACCCCGUUCUAAUGUUGAAGAAUUCUUCUUUUCGGUGAUGAUUUCCAUUGGCACAUGUUCACAAAAGUUUAUGCAAUAUAAUAAGAUUUGUCCCUAGGGUUUUCAAACAUUUCAUUUUGAGCAAUUAAUAAAGUAUGUCAUCUCAAAUUUGGGAAAAUUAAUUAAAUGCUCUUAAUCACAUUUAAAUUGAAUUGUAGUAAUUUUUUUUCACUUCCAAGAAUAUGUUCCCAUGAACUGGAUUUACCAUAUCCUAAGAUCUAGUUUACGUGAGGUUUUUGGGCCAAUAAAAAUAAGAAAGUCCAAAAAGAUAAUUUUUUGUUGGCUUAAAUGCAGUUUUACUCCAUCUGUUUUGAUUAAAUCAGAACUUUACCCCAUAUUUUAAAACGCAGACUUUUACCCUCUCUGUUUUAUAAUUUUUUGAAUUUUACCCCCCUAAAAUUCUGCUUUCGAGUCACAACUUAAAAGCUUCCCACACAACUCAAUUUGGAUCAAUAAUUCACCAAACGAGUUAUCUUUCCACAGAAUCAAACCCCACUAAAUUUGGAGUGACAAAAAGAGAUUAAUUACCGUUUUAGUGAAGGUAUGUCCCCCAAAAUUAUGAACAAAAUCUGCUUUCGAGUCACAACUUCAAAAGUCAUUGCCUUGGUUCUGUGGUCAUUGUGCCACGUGAUUGUGCUUAUCCCAUUUUGAUGGGCCUUCAUGUGUGUUAGGCUUUCGGAUGA
Molecule: long non-coding RNA, 874 nt
Filed under: Trifolium pratense (red clover)
Lineage: Eukaryota; Viridiplantae; Streptophyta; Magnoliopsida; Fabales; Fabaceae
Description: long non-coding RNA (TPRA_LNC012673)
Source: RNAcentral